AGUGAACGCUGGCGGUAGGCCUAACACAUGCAAGUCGAACGGCAGCACAGUAAGAGCUUGCUCUUACGGGUGGCGAGUGGCGGACGGGUGAGGAAUACAUCGGAAUCUACUUUUUCGUGGGGGAUAACGUAGGGAAACUUACGCUAAUACCGCAUACGACCUACGGGUGAAAGCAGGGGAUCUUCGGACCUUGCGCGAUUGAAUGAGCCGAUGUCGGAUUAGCUAGUUGGCGGGGUAAAGGCCCACCAAGGCGACGAUCCGUAGCUGGUCUGAGAGGAUGAUCAGCCACACUGGAACUGAGACACGGUCCAGACUCCUACGGGAGGCAGCAGUGGGGAAUAUUGGACAAUGGGGGCAAGCCUGAUCCAGCCAUGCCGCGUGGGUGAAGAAGGCCUUCGGGUUGUAAAGCCCUUUUGUUGGGAAAGAAAAGCGGCAGGUUAAUACCCCGCUGUUCUGACGGUACCCAAAGAAUAAGCACCGGCUAACUUCGUG
This 492-nucleotide ribosomal RNA is filed under the name uncultured bacterium. RNAcentral's name for it is "partial 16S ribosomal RNA". It matches the Rfam family "Bacterial small subunit ribosomal RNA", at positions 29 to 507 of the family's 1533-position model. The record is from RNAcentral.